AUUUUAAUAGUUUAAAUUAAAACAUUGAUAUUGUAAAUCAAUAAUAUUUUUUAAAAAAU
RNAcentral lists this transfer RNA (59 nucleotides) under Micropterix calthella. RNAcentral describes it as "tRNA-Thr". The record is from RNAcentral. Lineage: Eukaryota; Metazoa; Arthropoda; Insecta; Lepidoptera; Micropterigidae.